RNAcentral lists this ribosomal RNA (509 nucleotides) under uncultured bacterium. RNAcentral's name for it is "bacterial SSU rRNA". It matches the Rfam family "Bacterial small subunit ribosomal RNA", at positions 21 to 518 of the family's 1533-position model. The record is from RNAcentral.
GGCUCAGGAUAAACGCUAGCGACAGGCUAACACAUGCAAGUCGAGGGGUAACAGGGUAGCAAUACCGCUGACGACCGGCGCACGGGUGAGUAACGCGUAUGCAACCUGCCUAUAACUGGGGGAAUAGCUCCCUGAAAGGGGGAAUUAACACCGCAUAACACUAUUGAUUCGCAUGGAUUAGUAGUUAAAUGUAGCGAUACAGGUUAUAGAUGGGCAUGCGUGACAUUAGCUAGUUGGUGAGGUAACGGCUCACCAAGGCUACGAUGUCUAGGGGUUCUGAGAGGAAGGUCCCCCCACACUGGUACUGAGACACGGACCAGACUCCUACGGGAGGCAGCAGUGAGGAAUAUUGGUCAAUGGGCGCAAGCCUGAACCAGCCAUGUCGCGUGCAGGAAGAACCUGCCCUAUGGGUUGUAAACUGUCUUUUAUAGUAGAAGAAACACAUCUACGUGUAGAUGUCUGCCAGUAUACUAUGAAUAAGCAUCGGCUAACUCCGUGCCAGCCGCCGC